GUGAAGGAAUGCACCAAGUGUGAAGUUUGAUAGAAGCAAGGAAAAGUUAAAAAGAAUGAGGCUUCCUGGUGAUGUAGGGGAAAGAAACUCCCUACCUACCAGGUGUCCGGUAUGCUCUCUAAAAUUGAAGAAUGAAUUUUAGGAACAAUGGUGGUGAGGAGCAGUAUACAUUUAUUGAGAGAAAGAAAGUUUUUUUUCUGAGAGAGAGACAGAAGGAGUUCCGAGUGGGUUGCCAAGGAACCUGCCUUUUCCAGGGAUUUUUAUAGAGCAAAACUACAAGGCUGUGAUGGAUAUCCUCACCAGGACUGUUGGAGAGGUCUAAGAGAUUCCUGGAGAAACAACUGGUGCUGAAAAUUCAGACUCCCUUUCAGGUGGAGCCCAGGACAUAGUGGAUAUUCCGUGUCAUAAGGGUUCAGGAAGCAACAAUCCACAGCUGGGGAGACGGGAAUUCUGUCCAUACAGUGAGCACUUAACUGCCGAGGUACGUGCACUUGGACUGCCCUGGCACAUGGAUUGCUGCUCUGUGGUUGAGAAGACAAGAUGGUCUUCUUUUGGUCAGGUUUCAGUAAGAGAAGCAGAGCCACUGCGAAUACUGUGGAGGAGGAUUUAAAAUAUUAGAAAAAGAUCUUGUUCAGUUGUUGGAAAUUUGCAGAACAGAAUCAAGAACCAGUUCCUCUAACACAUCAGAAUGGGUGUAAAGGUGGGAGCUUGCCAAGGAAUUAAUUAGUAAAGACACACAUGUGCAGCUGGAAGGAGAGGAGAAGCCUCCUCAAGGCUGCAGUGUUUGUGUCUGGUGGUGGUUAGGAGCUUCUGUUCACCGGUGAAGUUAGCAUUUGGAAACUUAGCUGGAUGCCCAGAGUGAGAAAGUGAGAAUGAGCUGACUACCGGCAUGCCUGUUUCUGGCCCUUAAUCUCAGGGACAGGUUCUAGAAGAUCUUUGUGUUGCUCACUUCUUUUAACUAGGGUGACCUUCAAAGAGUUAAUGGCUACUGCUUCUGCUUGCUAAAUUACAUUGAUUUCUCUUUCCAUUUAUCCUGAAUACCACAUAGUACACGAUUCCUGGAAACAUAGUUCCAGAUUAGAAAAGCUGAUAAAGAACAACUGAAGCAAAAGUCUAAUUGUUACUGUAAAAAAGAGAGGAAAGUAAGGUGGACUAAGAGAUAGAACCACAGGUAUGUUUGAGUGUGUAGGAUGGAAAACCAUAUUACUGAGCUUUUGUUGGAUCAUUGAACAGAACUGUCUCCAAUUUCACUGUAUGAAUGUUCACUUUAUAUGCUUUAAUUUAGUGAUAUGGACAACUGUUUAUGGGAAGAUAAUGUUAACUGGUGAUUUUGUACUGUACAUAUUUUUUUCUAGAAAUACUGUAUUAUUUGUACCCUUUUACUGCAUUUUUUUAUUCCUUUCUUUUUUUUUCUUCUCUCUUUAAAUAAAUAAAAAAAAAAAGAACAACUGCAGCCAGCUUCGAUCAGCUUGGCAUUCAUUCCCAUAACACUUGUUUAUAGUGGCCAGAUCAUUAUUAUACCUAACAUGAUCCAUUUAUUCCCGUGCAUCUGGAAACAUGCAAGUUCCUCCCACUCCCAGUAUCAAAAGAGGAUAUGAAACCCACAGUUAUUUCAUCCAUUUUUCAGUAAUGUUUAUUUCCUUUCUAGCUGAAUCAUAGUUCUGCUCUUAUGUCAUGUAAUUUAUAAAUUGACAUCUCAGGUAAUGAUGAUUAACACAUUAUAUUAUAUAGCAAACAGCAUUUUAUGUUAUUUCAUACCUAUAUUAACCAAUCAUUUAAAUUUUUUUCUCUCCUAGAUGUAUUUUCUACACAAAUGCACACACAUAUAUUUACAUCAAACAAGGAACAAAUACUUGUAACCGUUGUAAUUUUAAUUUCUAUAAAUAAUUUUGUGAGUCAUAAAUGAGAAAUUUAUAACUUACUUUUCAUAUUCAUUACAUAGAACUUUUGUCAUCUGCAAACAACUUUGCCAAUCAUAAUUUCUUAACUGAAAGGGUAUCCCAAACCUGAAUUCCCUAAAGAUCUGUGCCACUAGUAAUUUCAGUUUUGAGAUCUUCUAGUGUUGCAUUAUUUUUUUAUUGUAGGAAUACGUGAUCCCUAAGAAUUUCUUUAGGCAUAUGCUUCUCUACCUUGAUAUUACAAGCAGUAUAGCUGUGCUAGUUUACUACAUGUGAAGUUAUCACAGUGCAUUUUGCAACACCACACGAUCUUACAUUUCCCAUGGGCCAGGAGGUUAGGGGCGGGUUUCCUGGGUUUUGUGGUCAGGGUAGGACAAGUUUUAAAUCAAGUUGUGUUCUCGGACAGUGAUCUGCCUGACACUCAAAGUCCUUCUACAGGCUCAUGCAGGUUGUUGGCAGAAGUCAGCUGGUUAGGAUUGAGAGCUGAGGAUUGGUUUUAUUCUCUGGAAUCCACUCAGGAUCUAGACAUAAAAUCCUUAUUUUACAAUAUAGCAGCUUAUUUCUUCAUGCCCUGCAGGAGGCUGUCACCUGCUGCAGUCAAGUCUUCUAUGAAGUGAUGUGCUUGCCUUAUCAUAUUUGUAGGUCUUAUUGGCAUUCAAGGGAAUAAAGGAAUUGUAGAAGAUUAAUACCACCAACGGAAAUUUUGUGGGCUUAGAACUCUGUCAACCAGUUUUCCCUUGGUAGUCAAUUAUUCCACCCACGGCAGUGAGCUUCUCCCUUGACUGCUGACUCACUGCCAUGAUGAGUGGCCUGCUGGCAGUUUCACUUUCAGUGUUUGUGUCCUUUGCUGCAGAGGCAUUCUUUCCUUGGAAAUAAAGAGCUCCAAGCUGGCAGGUCCCAAAGAAGUAGGGUCAGGAAGUAACUUUUAUGCUAGUGAAUCAUUUGGCGUAUUAGAGAGAGGAACCAUUCAUUUUCCAUGUCUGUUUUUUUCAGCUAAAGAAUCUUGGUUAUGAGGGAAAAAUCAGCAUCAUAUGCAGUGUGAUCAGAAAAUAAGGUGAAUGUUCAAUUUUUUGAAAAUAGCACAGUAAAAAAUGCAUUUCCAUUAGUCUCCUUCAAAGCAUUUCCUCUCACUUCAAACACACGUAUUCCAUUAUUUUUGCCACUUUCUGAAGCUGGUCUGGAAAUCCUCUUUGUCAUUGUUAAUGGUGAGCUGUCAUAGCUGCCUAGAUGACCUGAGCUGAUUCAAAAUAUUUACCUUUGAUGGCCAUUUUGACUUUGGGGAAGAGCCAGAAGUCACAUGGUGUCAGAUCUGGUGAAAAAUGGUGGAUAAAGACACAAGUCUGACACAAGUAUUUUUACAAGUCUGUCUUUCUGUUGAAUAUCACUUAGCAGCAACUUUCACCAUAAUUUUGAUCAUAUCCGUAAGUGUACUGAUGAAAGAGCACUUUGGGACUUCAAAAAGUGGCAAGAACUCUGGGGCAGGUGUGCUUGAAGCAGGAGAAAUGGGGCUUUUGAGGGGAAUUGAUGGCAAUAUUUCUUUUAUAGUAAUAUUUUUUAUUUAAACAUUCGUUGUAUUGUUUGGUCAUAACUCAUUUAUUGGUCCUUGUCCAAAUGCAGGAAGGAAAGGUUUAUUUAGCUCACUAUUUGUGGAGGUUUCUGUCCAUAGUCAAUUGGCUCCAAGGCAGGGUGACAUGGCCCCAGUGAACACUUCAAGGCAGCAGUCAGCAAAGCAAUAAGAGCAAAAAGAGGGGACCAGCAAGUCUCUUUUCCUCUCUUUUAUUGUAUGUAAGCCAUCCCCCUACUCCCUCCCCACCCCCUAGGGCAGAUAUAACACUCAUAAAAUCUCUAUGCCCUUCUCUUGCACAGAAUGAGGCUAUUUACAAAGUAAGGAUCUUGCUGAGUCUCCCUGCUGAGUCUCUUAGUUAAAACUUUUAAACUUCUCAACUUGACACAAUGUACUGACCAUAGCAGUCCUUGAAUCAGAACAUGUGUUUCACCUUGAAGAAUAUUACCCACUCUAAAAAUGUGGUCAUCCAGCUGGUGCUGUAUCCGAAUCUUUAAAAUGACAUUCCACUCCUUUCUGGAAAUGUGGUAACAUUCAUAAAUUUGCUGGAUGUGAUGAUACAUGUCUGUAAUCCCAGCCCUUGGGAGGCUGAAGUAGGAAAAUUGACUGAGUUUGAGGCCAAUUUAGGCUGCAUAAGUAAGUUCAAGGCCAGUUUGAGCUCAAACAAACAAACAAACAAAAACCAACCAAACAAAAAAGAUCAAUGAAUUUAAUAAGCAAACACCUAUUAUGGGUGUGCACUUGCUGUCAAAUAGUCAAAUAAGUUUCUUGUUUGGAAGCAAUACUAUGUGAUAGAUUAGUUUGUGGAGGAGGUAAUCUGUAGGUCUAUAUCUAUUAAUUUUGAAUGAAGCCUUAUAAGCCAGAAAGGCAAAUCUGUAUCCAGAAAAAUUAUCUUCUCAAGUUAGAAAAGUAUUGCUGUCCUUUACAUGAAUGAAAUCAAAUUGCCACGAAGUGGCUGGUCCCCGCAGUACAGAGUCUCAGAGCUUGGUGUAGCCUUUGUCAUUCUCAGGGAGUAAUCAGCAGUUCUUGAGGACAAAGUGGCAUUAUGAGCAGAGGUCUAUGCUGCUGAGUGCAGGUGUUUUGAUCUUGACAACUGUAGCCUCUUUGUUCAUAGUUGGUGGGACAGAGUCAUGAGUGGCUGGAGGAAGAGGUUGACUCACAUUCAUAGAUGGAGUAAUCACGUCCACCAAAUUGUUCACUGAGAUCUCUUCUGCUAGAACUUUGUUUUUUACUUUGGUAAACACAAAUGUCUUCACAUUUGCCAUUUUAGAAGUCGGGGAAUGUGCUCCUGCCCUAUAGGGUUUUUUUUCAACAAAUCCAAUCAUGUUCCUUCUAGGUCCCUGACUGUCUAACAAAUGGUCAGCCCUGGCCUAUGAAUCAGCAUAGAUCCGUCCUCUGUUUCUCUGUCAUUCUAGGAAAACAUAAAAUAGGGGUUCUGCAUAGAGUUAUGCUCGAGAAAAGGAUAUCCACCUUCGACUCUGUGCAGGGCCACCCUUGAGUGGAAUUGCAGAGAAACCACCACCAGGGGUGGCAGCCUCCUCUAUGGAGCAGCAUGUAACCCAGUCACCAAGGGUUUUUUUUUUUUUUCCUUUUCUCAUCUGAUUAAAUGAAUUCUUGUAACUGUGGGCUGAUCAAGUAGAGGAAACAGCAGAAAUAGAAGCCAGAGGAAGCAGAAGUACUGGUUUGUGUGUUUUACUAGUGCUUUUAGGAAUUGCCGAUCCUGUGUAUACCUUUUCCACUUAAUGAUAGAGAGCUCCGGUCUAUUCUACAUUUUAUGGCUUACUGGAUAAAUCAAUAAUCAGCUAUUCACAGUCAAUGCUGUUUUCAUUUUAUUUUAUUUCUUUGUUUGAGACAGUGUCUCACUGUGUAGUUCAGGGUGGCCUUGAACUCACUAUGUAGUCCAGGUGGUGCUCCCCUGCCUAGACCUACCUCCUGAGUUCUGAGAUUACUGGCCUGCACGAACAUGCCUGGCAGUCAAUGUAACUUUAAAGAUAAUUUACUGGCCUGUUGGUGGUACUUGUUUUCUGCUAGGACCCAACAGAAUUUAGGAGCUAUUUCUCAAAAAGAGAGUAGGCAUCUGCAAACAGUCGGGUAGCUUAAAUUCUUAAUCAUCAAGUUAUGCACCAUUUCUUUUCCUUCUUAAUUGAUUUUAUACUGUCUUUGUUAUAAAAAUAAUAAAUUACUACCAACACGUCUCAGAUCAUUAGGUCUGCAUGGAUUAUGUGAUCUAAGUGGCAGAACAAUUUACACUGAAGUCUGGAUCUUUUGCACAUCCUUCUCUUCUUUGGGCUCCAGUCAGAGCUAGAAGUCUGUUGGGUAUCUCUCUAAUUAGGUAUCCCAUAGCACCAUACCCAAAUGAGGUUUAUGUUGCCUUUGGCAUUCAACGAUUCAUAAAGCAUAGGCCUUUUCUUCACCAGUCAAAUUCAGCAUUCAUUGAGCCCCUUAGCAGGGAUAUAAUGACAUGAUCUGAACUACCUGGACUUUAGAAUUUUUCUGAACACUUUUUUGUAUAUAUAUCUAACCCAAACAUUUAAGGUAGCUGCUACUUCCUGUUCACUAGAUCUAACCAGUAUGAUAUCAAUGUGGACUAUUGUGUUGUCUUGUGCAAUGGAGAGAUCCUCAAGUGAUGUGUCUGUAAAUUAGUACCUAAGGGCAGAGUUGAUAAACCCUUGAAGUAAAAGUUUGGUAGUGGUUUGAGAGAAAGCAUUCAUAGGAUCAGUAGUUGCAUCAAGAACCAGAGAAUGUAUCAGUUUGCUUUAAGAAAGACUUGAUCAUAUAAGACCUCCACUUAAUGAACUGAUGUUGUAGUAGGACUUCUCACUGGUUUAAGUUUAUUAAAAUACAUUGUUAUUUACUAAGAUCUGUUCUUUGGAAAGGCCAAAUAAGAAAGUGAAUAGAAAGCUAGUAACCACCCACUCUGUGUCCUUCAAGACCUUGAUGUUAGCACUUAUUUAUGCCUAAAAUCUGCACAGAAGUGAAAAAGUGGCUUUAUUCUUUAUUAGUUUGGUUGGUAGAGCUGGUUCUAGAUGGACUUCUUCACAAUAAUAGCCCUAUAAUUCUAUAAUUAUAUAUAAUUAUAAUUCUAUAAUUCAGCUAAAUUAUGUAGAAAUUCUGCCAAGUAUUUAUUCUAUGUCUACUAAUAAUAACAUUCUAGAAGUGGGGAUAUAGUCAAGGAUUGAUUUCAGGGAUACUGUGGUAAGAUAGACAUUGAUCAAAACUUUAUAAAUUACCUUAUCUCCAUGAACUUAAUUUAUGAUAAACCAGUAGUCCAGUUUUUGUUUUUUAGUGGAUUUUUGCUGUUGCUGCUGGUGUUUUUUUUCUUCUUUCUUUUCUUUUUUUUUUUUUUUUUCGCAUCUCCAGUUGUGUUAGUUGAGAGCUAGUGUCCAACAAAACUCUCAAAAUCCUAUUGCUUUCUUCUUCAGAGGGGCUAAUAUGAAAAAAUAUGUAUGAUAUAGCUAUGUAUUACUAUGUAUUAGAGACCUUCCUCAGUAGACUGAGCCCCCCUUUCUUGAAAUCCAAAUCAAUUCUGAAUUGGCUCCAACACUGUGUCUCUUUUAUAUGGUUCAAACUAGAUACUUCUUCUCAGUUCCUAGAUAUUGUCCAUAUAUACAAAUCAGAUAAGAUCUCAAAUUUUCCUUACCUUAUGUAUACAGUAUAUUGUCAAGUGACCAGGAUGUCUGUUAGUCAAGCUACUUCAAUUAUCACGUUGGGUUUUCUACUAGCUACAGUAGUCUUUAUCACCUUCUUUUCAGGAGCUUGAUCUUCUUUUGUGCUUUGUCAUAUCAGCCCAAUAAAAUAUAAGGUCUCUUUUACCAUAGCUAACAUGUAUAAUCUUUAUGCAUUUUAAUUGUGUUUCUGUUGAUAAAAAUGGCAAAAAGAAUUUUGCAAAUCUUUGGGUGGGUUUGGUACUUAUUCUGAACCUGACUACGUAGGGUUUGCCAGGACUUACACCUGUUUGUCAGUCUAGAAGCAAGACAGAUGGUGGGCGUAGUCUUGAGUAGAAAUAUCCCCACUAAGUUAUCAUCUCAGGGAAGUGUAUUUCCAUACUUCACAAGGGGAGAGUGCUCCUUUUGCUGGCAAAGAUGAUCAGAACCAUGUAGGGAACCAGUGUCUUGUACUUUAUAGGAAUUUGCCUCUCAUAUUUUUUCCAAUUAAUACACUUACCAUGAUGUUGGAAAUUCAACUGAGGUUAUAAUUCAGAGUUUAGUUUUUAUUUUCAGAAAUUUUGACCUACUGCUAGGAAAAUAAGGGGAUUUUGGGAACAGAUAAGAGAAAUUUUCUGUUUGCUGACUAGUCCUUGAAAUGGGAAUUUAAUUAACCUCCUGAGUCCAUCAUUUUCUUUUUCCAGAUUUUCUAAUGUACUUUGCACAAAAUCCAGCACAUUAUAUUUUUACUUGACUUAAAACUUUUAUUUGAUGUAAAAACUUUUUAUUUUUUCUAUAAAAAAAUCCUUGACCACCCAAAUGUAGCCUUCUGUAAGAUUUUGAAUGCAGGUGAUAAUUUAAGCAGUUUUUCUUUUUGUCAUUUUAUGUUGCAGAAUACCAGAGUUCCUUUGACCCCAUGCAGAAAAGUUGUUCAUGCUUUUGAAACUAUUUAGUAAGAGAGGUAAUUCAUUCUUCUCAUCCUUAAACUGCCCCAGAAAGAUUCUUGGGACCAAUAAUUGUAGCACCUAGCAGUAGUAAGAAGACAGAACCACUCUGACAAUUAUGGAUCAAAGAAUUUGUUGUUCAGUGAGAAUUUAUACAAUUGCAGGAGAUGUUGGAGAAAUAUGAGUAUAAAAGGAGAAUUUGAGGAUCAAGGAAAAGGCACUUUCUGGUACUUCUGAAGCCAUGGUACAAGUGAACAAAUUGGUGGUUGUGAGUGAACAUGUGAAGAUGUGAAGGCAGGUUUGUCCCCUUGCCAGUGUGUGACUGUAACAGAGAACUUGUGCAGAGGUCUAUACGAGGAGUGUGCUUCUGUGUCUGUGGUGGACUGUGCAGUCCUGUUGAUUAGAGAGGCUAGUGGUCAGGAAAAGAGCUGGACAUGGUAGCUGGAAUCAUUUUCUCUUAUGUAUUUAUCUUUCCAUGUGGAAAGAUUAAACACAGGGUAAGGUCUGCUGGUGGGUCUGAAUAUGUCUCUUACUAAGUGUAGCCUUGCUGAUUUCCAGAGAGUAAUAAUGGUAUUUCACCUCUGCCUCCCAGAUUUUGUGAUCAUCUCUUUUUCUUACCAAUUUUAAAAUAUUUUUUCUUACUAGUACACCGUUAGUAUAUAUAAUGAUCACAUGCCUUGUGGGAAGCUUGCACAUGUACAUAUUUUAAUUAUUUUUCUUCCUUUCCCUUCUCAUCCCUCCCUGAUCUCUCCAAUUAUUGCCUCCCUGGCCAUUUGCAAAAGCUCUACUUGCAUUUUUUCCUUAAUUUCUUUUGGUUUUUGGUUACUUCUAGUGGGGAAACUACAGAGGAGUUUUAGGAAACAGUUUUAGAUUUUCCAACUGGCACAGAAUGAAAUCGCCAUAUCCAUUGUGUCCUCCAUCCCUCCAGUGAGGUGCUCACUGACCGUGAGUUUAAAUAGUGGUGUCUAAGACCAAUAUUUCUUGGCUUUCUGAGCAACUGAAAAAAGGAUUCUGUCUUUGCAGAAUCAAAUAAAAAAGACUUGGUGAGGAAAAGACAAAUAUACUUGAUUCACUUUGGCUUUGUUACAACCUCCUGGCCUAUUUGAUUAAUGCACCCUUUCUUUUUCCUGAAAGCAAUGGGAACAGUUGAUAAAGCAAGAUGGUUCAUAUUUGGAGGUUGAUGGAGGGUCCCCUUUAGCCAUGAGAAGUGCUCAUGCUUUGUAAAGAGGACAGUUACCAGAGGUAUCCAUGGAACAAAUCAUCACCUGCAGCCUAUGUGGUUUGGAGUAGGCUGUUUUGAAGAGUGAAUAUAUUUUAGCUUUAGCCUCUACUGAGAGGUAUCACAGGGAAAACAAAAUAAGGGUCACCUAGUUCUUAGUCUUUUAACUCCAAGCAUUAGAGGGAUGUGCUCCAUAACAACUAUGUGCCAGACUAAGCUGAGUACACACAGUGUCACCCAAGAGUUCAAUGGCUUCUCAUUCUGGAUCCAGAAUGAAUCUCACAUGUCCAUUGUCAUUUUGUCCACAUUUCUUUGCUGUUUUUGAUUGAUUCUGUUUUAUGUAAUCCACUGACUUCUUUAAAAUCUGUGAGUUCUACACCAUAUCUUGCAUCCUAUGCAAUAUAAAAUGCUCUUAUAUGUGUUUUUUAUAUGUCAUUGUUUUCUUCAUGAAUUCCUAUCACAUCUCUAGGUACUGCAUGAAUAUUUACUGUCAUUUUAGUAUUUCUUUCUAACAUCCAAUUCAAAAUCUUUAUGAUCAACUUCAACUAUUGUUUUGAUAAUUUUUUUCUCAUUGCUUUUGUUUUCUUGAUUAACAAUAGUUAUUAUAUCUGCCUAAUCAACUAUGUCAGUACCUCCCACUAUAAUUAGGAAUAUUCUAUAUUUUUUAAAAUUUAUCAUUAGUCCUCCAAGUCCCUCUCAUUCCAAGGUCCCCUGGAAAAUCCUGUGAUCUUUUAUCAUAUUUUAAUAUUUUUAUUGACUUGCAUAUUGUUAUGGUUGGUGCAUUGUGUCAACUUGAGAAGUUUUGAAAUUUAACGAAGAGAUUCAGCAGGGAGCCAGGAUCCUUACUCUGUAAAUAUCCUCAGCCUGUGCAAGAGGAGGGCACAGAAGUAGUGUGAGUGCUACACCCACCUUGGGGGGCUUGGGGGUAGCCUGUUUAUAAUACAAGGGAGGAGAAGAAGCUUGUUCUCCCUCUUUUUGUUUUGGCUGGUCUUGCUGGAUGCUGUCUUGAAGUGUUUCUCCUGUUUCAUGUCACCCUUCCUUGGAGCCAACUGAUUAUGACCUGAAAUCUCCACAAACAGUGAGCUAAAUAAACCUUUCUUUCAUUUUGAGCAUUUGAUAUUUUGUCCCAGUAAUGAGAAAAAAAAUGCAUAAUCUAAUUCAAUCUUAUACUCUUAUACUUAAAAAUAUUAUUAUUUUUAUAAUACUAUGAGUUUGCCAUUUUCCCUCAAAUAUAUGUAUUAUUUGAAUAUUUUCUUUAAUAGCUAUAUAUAUGAAUACAUCAUAUUUUAAUACUUAGUAUAUGUGCUAGUAAACCAAGGAUUAAACUUGGUACCAUAUCUGUUAGAAGUUAGUUAAAACAAAUUUAGAAAUCAUUAAUAACAAAUAGAUCUUGAACUUGUUAGAGAAAUUUUGACAACUUGAGAGUGGAAAUAAAAUGAAGUGAUAAUUUUUGUGUUCACUUGUUUACAUCUAGAAUAUAUGGAGAUAAUUGUAGUUUGAUUUUGAAACAGUAGUGCUGUAAGAAUUGUUAGGCUACAGUAACAUUUAGUAGCCAAAGAAAGUAAUGAAAGUUUAAUUAUAAUAAAAUUAUAACAUACUUUAAGAUAAUGGCAGAUUUAUUUACAAUUCAUUAAAGACCAACUAAUGAUAAUAUUAGGAACACUUAUUGAGUUCUACUCCUUUAUAAUCCAAUCCUAGCUCAGAGAAAUUCACUUUUAAUGACACAUAAAAGUCACUCCUUGUAACUGUUCAGUGUUCAUGAAGCUGCCCUAAGAGAUGCCCUACCACAACUAACUUCUGGUUUUUAUAAGAGUUGUUAGCAUAUUAGUUUAACUCAUAUCUACAUCCUUUGGUUUGAUGCAAUUUGGGUUAUGACAUUUGGUGUUAUACUUUGUGUAUUUUCUUGUCUAAGGAGCAGAAUACAUAAGGAUUAAUUUCUCAAAGGGACUGUUGCUGGCUGCUGUUUUGAACUGUUACAUUCAUCAGUAGGUUCCUUGAUUCAUUCCUUCACAACUAUUUUCUAAGCAACCCCUAUAAACAUUUUUGUGCUUGACAAUGGGCUAGGUUCUAGGAAAGCAAAACUAAAUAAGACAGUAUACUUAUGCUCAAAGGUUGCUUAUAGACUAUGGAGGAGUCAUAAAUCAAUUGCUACAGUAUAAUGUGCUAAAUAUUAUUUUGGGGGAAGGGAGGACAGAGCAGAGACAGUACCUAGUACAUAAUAGCAUACACUUACUAAAUAUGUGUUCAGUUGAUUAAAUGAUGGGUGGAUCGAUGGGUACAUAAAUGCAUAAAUGCAUGAUUUAGGUGACUAUGGAUUGAGAGAAGUGAUGGCGAAUUCCUCAGAAAAGGAUGCUUAAAAUGAGUUUCAAAGAAUGAAAAAAAUGUUAGUAACACAAGAGGGGAAAUUCAUUCAGGGAAGCCAGUCAGAUUGGUAUGAAAAAUACGUUGAACGCAUCAAAUACUUUUCUGUGUUCAAGUAUGCAAACUUAAAUGGCAGAGAAAAAAGUUCAUUUUGUGAUUGGAAACUUAAAAUCAGCAUUUAAAAAACUGACCUCAUGAAUUUUCCUUUAAAAUGUUUUUCCUUAUGAUGUUUCUCUCUUGAAAAAUGAUACAACUAGUUAGACCAAAAAAAAAAAAAAAUUCCAGAUAUUACCCUGCCUUUAGUCUCUAGUCUCACUUAAUUCGUCACCUUUGCUGUAGAUUUUACUUCUUUGUUAUUUCUUUUUUAAAAUUUUAUUUAAAGAAAGACUAAAAACAGAAAAUAGGUAGAAAUAAUACAUACAUUCAAAGAAAAAAUAAACAGGAAGAAAAUACUAGCUUAUGUUUACGUACUGUCCUCCUACAAAUAGUUGUUCAAAAUUCAAAAGUGGAACAUAUAAAGUGGGAAUUCAAAGAGCGAGACUGCAAACAGUUCUGUUCAACUAUCCAACAAAUACUUAGAAAUAUGGUUAUUAAUCCUAUACACUUAAACAUACAUGCAGUUAUCCAUAUCUUCAAUUGUGUUGAGAUUGAACAAACCCAAGCAGGCUAAUAUCACUCUGAAUAAAGAAUAAUACUAUUGCCGGGUUUCACAAUAAGACACUCCAGGAUCAGCACUGAGUACUUUAGUGUCCCUUUUUCUUCAAAGUAUUUGUUUGUUUCAUCAUAUGUCAUAAGAUCGUUCUCAUAAACUGUUUAUAGGUUCUAUACAUGCAUGAGUCUUAACAUGUAUUUCUAUCCUUUCUAUGUUAGAGGGAGAAACAAAACAAAGCAAGACAAAACAAAACAUAUUCCUACAAACACAUAAAAUAAACAAGACAUAUAAAACCGUUGUACAAGGAGUUCUACCAUAGUUCCUGUGUUGUCUCUUGUAAUCUUCAAUAGAUUUAGCUAUAUCAUCAGGCAUAGUAUAAUUGAAUAUAUCAGUACGUAACAGUAUUAAUAAAAACACAACUUUGUAUAUAGUAUAGAACUUCAAAAACAGGCAAUAAUCAAACCAGAAUGUAGUAAAUCAAACCAAAUUGUAGUAAAUCUUGUCAUCUUCAGUGUAGUUGCCUAUACUCUCAGACUUGAUAUUAUCAAUCAUAUCAGUUUUGAAAAAAUCUAGGGGCUGGGGAUUUAGCUCAGCGGCAUAAGAGCCUGCCUUGCAAGCAGGCAGUCAUGAGUUUGAUCCCUUGUACCAAUAAAAAGGAAAAAGACAAAAAAAAAAUCUGUUGAUACUAAACAGCAAUCAAACAAACCAGAUUUAACUAAGAUCAGUCAUGAUAAAACAGUAUAAGUCAUAAAGGGCUCCAGAUUAAUAGUAAAUUAAAGAUGAUUACUGUGCUAUAUCCUGAUGUUUUUGGGAUAGCUGUCUGUGCCCUCAAAUCUAAUGCAAGUAGACAAACUGGAACAGAAUAAAAUCUAUGUAAGCAGAGUUGUGUGAGUAAUGUGGGUUUUAAAUUCUGAUACACUAUUAAAAAUAUCUUCUGCCAUCUUUUUUAAGACUCUCCCUCCCCUUUCUCUUCCCCAGGGUACACUGUGCAUUUUUGGGUCUGACCAAGACCUGUGGUUUUAAAGUGUGUGUGGGGAGGGGCAACCUGCUAUUUACCUAAGUGGUUCCAAACCUUUUCUCUCCUGGAUUUAAUCUCUAACUGUAUUCCUUUACCUAUUAAAGCCUGUCUUUCCAACCUAUCCACAAAUGCUGGUCUAGUUGCCCCUAUUACUCUCUGGUUCUCUGUCACAUAGAGCAUUGUUUUCUCAUAUUUGAUUUUAAGUCUAUGUACUCUUUUUCAUGUUAAUUAUAUUUCCUAAAAAUAGCCUCUUGGGAGAACUUACCUCCUGAUCUACUCUAUGUGUGUUUCUUUUUAAUUUAGUGUAUCAAGGCCAUCUAUAUUAGAGAUUAUAACCAACCUUCUCUGCCUCAUUUCUGUUAUGCUCUUUUUUUGCAUUAGUUGCCUGCUUGUCUUCUUCAUUCUGUUUUCUGCUCCAUUCAUUGAGGCCUCUCUGCCACUGUUCCUGGAAUCCUAGUACUUUUCUCUCUCUCUAAAAUGCUCCACAGUAUUCUCUGUAGAGUUGGAUAUGUGGUUGCGAAUUUUUCAAGUUUCUCUUUGUCUUGGAGGCAUCCUGUUUCUCCAUUAAUCUCUAGAGACAGUUUUGUAGGGUAUAUCAAUCUGGGCUGGAGAUUAUUUUCUUUCAGGGCUUGGAAUACUUCACUCCAGGCUCUUCUUGACUUGAUGGUUUGUGUUGAGAAGUCUGCCAUUUUUCUGAUGGGCCUUCCUUUAUAGGUUAUCUGUUUCUUGUCUCUAACAGCUUUUAAUAUUCUGUUCUUAUAUUGAAUUUCUGGGAUCUUGAUUAUUAUAUGCCUGGUUGUAGUUCUGUUUUCGUUGUCUGUGGCUGGAGUUCUGUAUACCUCAUACAUCUGCAUAUCAUUUUCUUUUCCUAUGUUUGGAAAGUUUUCCUUAAUUAUUUCUGUGAAUAGCCUUUGUAGUUCCUUUGUUUAUAGCCCUGCUUCUUCAUUCACAUUCUUUGUUCUGAAGUUAUAGAUCCUCUUGUUAUCUCCUAGCCUUUUUAUUGUUAAUGCUUGUUUCCUUGCUAUUUUAAAAAGUUUUUCCUUUCAUAAUCCCACAUUGCAAACCUAUUCUCCAGUUUGAAUAAUCUAUCCUUAGUUUCUUUCAAGCUGUUUUCCCAUCUGUCCAUAGAGUUUUUAAUUUCCUGGUAAUCUCUUUGAAUCUGCUUCAUGUAUUCUGUAUUUUCUUUAUAUUCUUCAUCAAAUAGUUCUCUCCUUUGAGUUCCUCCAUUCUUCUGUCUGUGUCUUCUUGAAGGGUGCUUAGCACCUCUUUUAUUAAUCUUCUUGUAUCUUGCUUUACUUGGCUAAAUAUUUCCUUUUUAAACUCAUCUAUGAGGUCCUGAAGAUAUCUCUUUAUGCCCACUGGUGCUAUGUCUGAUAUUGAAUGUUUGUUGUCCUCAUUCUCCUUUGCAUUUACCUGUCCUGGGUCAAUGUUUUCAGGGUUGGGCCCUCAGGACUUUUUCUUGUAGCUUCCUCUUCCCAUCUUUUUGGUUUCUUCCAGGAGGCCCCAGUUUCUUUCUUUGUUGGUUACAAUUCUUAUGAAGCACCCUGGCUAGGUGACCCUUCCCUCUGCACUGUGCUAGUGAGUUGCAAACAGGGGCAGCUUGUGCUGGCCCCUCCCCUCCAGAUCAGUCAAGCUGCUGAGGCCUGCACUGUAUUACUGUGCUUUGCCUCCCCUCUGGGUUAGUCAAACUUCUGAUAUUUUGUCUGCGUGAGUGUGUGCUGCCACCAUAAGGAACUGAUUUCGGAUAACCUAUUCGGUCUCAGCCAGGUUGCGUGACCCAGGCCAAGCUUACUCCACCAAUCCCAUUUGGGAAGGGAACAACUGACUGAAAUCACUGCUGCCCCUUGUUUUUGCCAGUCCUGCCUGGGUCCAGAAUGUCAUCUGUUGGAGCCCCUUUUUCUGAGGGAUGGUUUUACUCCCGUCACUCACCACAGGUCGAUGCAGGUUCCCUGCUAGCUCAGCUCUCCCUUUGGCUUGCAGACCCCUAAUCUCAGUGUGACUGUGUUUCCACUGAGUCAAAGCAGAGGGAUUUCAGACAGCUCGGGUGCUACAGCAGGAGCACUGAGCCUUUAGCUGUUCCAAUAGUAGCACCAGGACUGUAUGUUUGAUUGGUUCUUCUUACCUUAGUUUAUUCUUGGGAUGAGAUAAUUCAUCUCCCUCUGUUUGGGACUCCCCAUGCCGUAUUAUGUUGAAUUCUAAGUUGACUAUCUCAGGGAGCCUCUGUGCCCUGCUAUUAUCUAUCCGCCAUCUUCGGAUAGAUAUUAUUGUUAUUUCUUGAGUUGCUCUUCCCCUUUCUGUUCUUCAAUACAGUUUUUAACAGUCAAGAUCCAGUAUUCUCAUUUUUUUGUGUCUUUAAUUCAUUCAACAAGUAUUUCCCCAUUUACCUAUUGUUUUCAUCCACAUUGCUAUUGAAGUAAUAUUUAAGAUAUGUAUACUCAGUCAUUUCCCUCCUAUGUAUUUAGAGGAGAUCAAAGGGGACCAGAUGAUGAAGGGCUUCAUAUUUUAAUCUAAAUAGUUCAAAAUUAUUGCUGAAAACUAAUGAAAUCUAUUAAAAGAAUUUACAUUGAAGAGUUAUGUCUCCACUUAUGUUUUAGAAAAGAUUUUUUUUUUGGUCUUUUUUGAUACAGGGUCUUGAUAUGCAGUUCAGGCUGGCCUUGAGCUCACUUUGUAGCCCAGGCUGGUCUCAAACUAGCAAAGAUCCUCCCAACUCAGCCUUCCAAGUACUGGGAUUUCAGGUGUGAGCCACCACAUCCGGCUUAGAAAAGUAUUUUAAAAGGCCAAAUAUCUGAUGGAGAGUAACCCAAUGAAAAGAUGGAUGGACUAUGGCAGGACUGCAGUUAAUAAAGGAUACUAGGAAGGAUUUGAGUAAAUACUGGGUGAGAACGGGAUCAUAGUUACCACAGGAAGAUGGGGUAUUUUAAAAGAGGGAGCUUGCAAAAAGACUUUUAUCAACUUAACUUUUCCGAAGAGCAAGCAAGUUGUCACCAACACCUUAUUUACCUUGUCUUUUUUUUUUUUUUUUUUUUUUCAUUUUGGAGCAAUAAGAUUGGAGAAGACAAUAAUAGCAAUCACAGGAAAUAUUAUAAUCAUGGUUUAAAGUGUAACCUACAUUGGCCUUCACUGCAGAUGUUAGUCAAGGAUCAUGUAUUAGUGGUCCCAGAAGAAAAGAGGAGAGGAGUGAGGGCAGGGCAAUAAAGGAAAGGAGGAGAGACAGACAGAGACAAAAGCAGAGAGACAGUGAGGGACAGAGAGACAGUGAUAGGUUGAGUUUUGGUUUUGCUUCUUCAUGAGAGCAGUCAGUUUUCACCUCCCCAAGUCCUAGGUUUUCAAGGCUACAAGAGCAGAAAUACAAUGGAAAGAAGGAAUCCAUGAAAUGUGCUACUUAAACUUUUACACGUUUUUCAUUCUUAUCUUCCUUAUUACUAGGUCUGCUUUGUUCUGUUUUUCUUUUCCCCCCCAAUAGUGGGGAUUAAUCCAAGGCCUUGGAUGUGUUGAACAAGUUUCUGCCACUGAGCUGCACACCUCACCCUUAUCUUUAUGAUUUUGGUGGUUUUGUCUCUACCACUGAUCUUCCUCUUUUAGUAGGAUUUUAUCUUUUUUCCCCAGUUAUUGAUCAUUUAGCAUCAGCAAGACAUAAAACAAGAGUGGAAACACGUACACGUCCUUUAGAAUUUUUCUACAAUGUUCAGGAGUCCCAAAGCUUGAACUUGCACAGAUAAGGAGCUACUUGACUCCAACUGGUGUUUCCUAUAGUGAACCAAGAUGCCUCCCAACAGUGCGUGCAUCAACUUUUGUUCAGUCUGAUGGAAAAAUGUCCUGGUUUUAGCAAAUGACUUACUCUGUAUAGGACUGAGUUCUAGGAGAUGGGGUAGUGUCUCAAAGCUUCUUUAACUUAAACCUCUCUAACCUCAGGACAGAGCAUCAUAGUUACACUAGGAUCAUAUUUCUUCUUUUAUCUGAUCAUUCCAAAGUGCCCGUAAUGACUGCUAAGAUGAACAGCUCCUCUGGUUAAAUGCACUAUAGCUCAGUGCACAAGAGCACUGGUUAAUGUCUUGCUGAAAGCUCCAACUCGCUACUUGCUCACCAGAUUAAAGUUUUUGAUUCCAUGUCCUGAGCUUGUUUUUACUUCCCCCACUUACGUAGAAUUCAUCAAUAAUACCAAUUUCUGCUAACUUAGAAGUUCAAAGAUCCACAAAGCCACUACUGGGCUAUGGCUAUUAAUUUUAGCUAUCUUAGCAAAUUCAACCUGUCCAUAACGCAUUUUGAUCUUCCGUUGCUAAGUCUUGGGUCUCAUCUGCAUGUAGAUUUGAAACCAAUGCACCCUGUGUUGGGGAUUUAGGAUAAGUAACUACAUUCUUUCCUUAGUUUCAUUGGAUUCUGUAUUAGCCAGCAUUUUACCAGAGAAACAGAUAUAACAAGAUAUACAAAUGUAUAAGAAGUUACAAGAUUGGCUUCCUACGGUCAGCCACAGAGUCAGAUGAGGAAGUGUACAGAGGAUGUCUGCAUGCUGGAGGUCAAAGGAUUCAAUCCAAGGCCUGGAGUUCACUGCAGUGUCCCUGUGGGAGUCCACACCAGGAGGCCGAUGGGUCUGCGAAGGAAGGCUGAAAGGGCUACGCUGGAGGGCAGAAGCUGAAGAGCACAUGCUGGCAGCCAGGAGACUAAGUCUAAGUUGAAGGCGAAGACUGGCGCUUCUCUGAAGGAUGGAACCUCACCUGUCCUUCCCUUUUGGUAUAUGUGCUGCUGAAGCGAGCUCCUCUGUUCCUGUUACAUCAUCCAGGCAGUGAGCCACCCUAGGGUGGGUCGUCUACACCUAGAGUAUAGAGUUACUAAGCCCAUUUAGUUAAGCUUCUAAAUGUCGCAAAUUGACACAAACAACCACUACAGAUUUUAAAUGGAAAAAUAUGCUUAAGAGUCAGACAAAGAUUGAAAUAGCAGUGCUACUGAUAAAAGCAAAUUGGAAGGUUUGUCUUAGACUUGAGGCCCAAAUGGGCUCCUUCUUAUUUUCUUCCUGAGUUAUAUUUUAACAGCAGACACAAUGGUUGGAAAACCCUUGGCUUCAUUUUCCCUUAGUGCCCUAAAGCUUGUAAGCGAGCAACCUAAAACAAAACAAAACAAAACAAGUUCACAAUGCAACAUGACUUUAUUUCAUUUACUCUGCUUAUUGUCAAUCAAAUGCUUAUCAGUAUUAGGAAGGUAUGGGAUAUGGUCAGUGGAGAAAACAAUCACUUUUUAUGAAAAGGCAGAAUGCUGUGGUUUUUCUUCCCAAUGUGUACCAGAGGAUGGGUAGUACUGUUUUAUGAUUUAAUACAGGUAUAUGAGAGGACAGAAAGGAUUUUUCCUGCAGAAGAUAUGACGUUGUGAAAUGCCACAUAAAUAAAGUCAAAGUAAAGGUCAGUAAACAUAAGCCCAGAAAACUUCCAAGAGUAUAGUUUGGUGGCUCUCCGGUGGAGUGCUUAGAAUCGGCAGUUUCUCUAGUGCCAUGCUUCAGAACCACCUGCAUAGGUUGCAAAGCCACAGAUUACUGUAUUCCAGCUUCUGAGAGUUUUUGAUCAAAUAGCUCUUGGUUAGGGCUGGUUGAUUUGCAUUUCUAACAUGUUUUAGGUAUUAUUGCUGCUACUGAUCUUGGAAAAGAAAUAAAGCCUUUGGAGCAAAAGCCAACUUAUUAUUGUGGAGUGAAUGGACUAUGAGAAACAAGAGGGUAGGUUACUUCUUCUAUCAAGAAAUGUGGCUAUAAUGAUAAGUGGACAUUUAUGGUGACAGAAUUGGUUUUGCCAUACAUUUACAGUGAAUACUGUUAUAAACCACCUUUUUGAUAAACUACCUUUUUGCAAUGGUUGUGUGCUGGAUAUCUUGUUUGGUGCAGCAGAUAUACUCUUUCCUUCUUCUCCUCCUUGUCCUCCUGCUCCUCCUCCUCUUCUCCUCCUCCCUCUUUACCAUUCUCUGAGCGCUGCCCUGCCUCUGUAUCCCUGCUGCACCUGGUGAGUGGCGAUUCCCAGUGGAAAUAAGAGGGAGGGAGGAAGAGAAGCUGCAGUGUUUGACCCUCUUGCUUCCUGCCUGACACAUUACCUCCAGCUGGUUCUGCCUCUUCAUAAAAAGUGAUUGUUUUCUCCAAGGUGAACAUUUUAAAAAAUAUUCCAUUUGUCCAGAUUCUAAUACUUGUUGUCUUGUUUUGUUUCUGUUCUUUGGGUCUUUUCCCUGACCAUACCUUUAUUAAACAGUCACUUAUCAAACCUUUUCUGAAAUAGUCCUCUAUACGGACUCUAUCAACAGUGCUGGAUGAUGUAAGGUAUGCACGUGUGUGUGCUUGCUGUUA
This is a long non-coding RNA of Cavia porcellus (domestic guinea pig), 19613 nucleotides long. RefSeq lists it as uncharacterized. The record is from RefSeq and is a predicted model, not a curated record. The transcript is spliced from 4 exons. NCBI's taxonomy places the organism in Eukaryota, Metazoa, Chordata, Mammalia, Rodentia, Caviidae.